RNAcentral lists this ribosomal RNA (253 nucleotides) under uncultured bacterium. Its description in RNAcentral is "partial 16S ribosomal RNA". It matches the Rfam family "Bacterial small subunit ribosomal RNA", at positions 524 to 776 of the family's 1533-position model. The record is from RNAcentral.
UACGUAGGGUGCAAGCGUUGUCCGGAAUUAUUGGGCGUAAAGAGCUCGUAGGCGGUCUGUCGCGUCGGAUGUGAAAAUCCAGGGCUUAACCCUGGACCUGCAUUCGAUACGGGCAGACUAGAGUUCGGUAGGGGAGACUGGAAUUCCUGGUGUAGCGGUGAAAUGCGCAGAUAUCAGGAGGAACACCGGUGGCGAAGGCGGGUCUCUGGGCCGAUACUGACGCUGAGGAGCGAAAGCGUGGGGAGCGGACAGG